GAUGGAUCGGAGUUAAGAUCUAGUGUUCUCGAUGAGGUUUGACGUCAGACCGGCCGUAAACCAUUGAUGUGUGUUCAAAAUUGUAAGUUUUUUAAUGCUGACACCAAAACUUUAUUUACAGCUAUGGAAAACUAGCAAUGUUUGCCGAAUCCGCCAAGUUCCGCGAACAGCGACAGUGUGGAGCCAGCAUACCCGCUGUAUCCACACUGUCGAGGACUCAGGUACAACUACAAUUUGGGAAAAUAAAAGGUACAUAUAAAUGCAGUUUUCUAGUCCACCAUCCGGUCUUACGGUUAUGGGACAACUUUAUAUCGAAAUAUGUAUUGUACAGCUGAAAACCAGCGCGUUUACCUUGGCAGCAUAUGCUGAGCCCUUUCGGUAAUAAUGUUUGUGAUGAUUGUCUUACUGUCCUUUUUGAUUUUUGUCGAAUAAACGUUUUCUUCUUGGACUAAAUCGGAGCCCAGAUGGGCUCCGGCGCUCAACUGCUGACGAAUAAACUAAUAAUAGACGAAUAAAUUAAUAAAAUAGGUUUAUUACUACAGAUUUUAAUAUUAAGCAAUACAAAGUACUUCUUACUACUUUAAUAUACAUGUAAUUUAAUGAAAUUGCUUUUAGGAAAACCCGGAAUUGAUUUUCAUUCCGAGACUCCCACGGGAGUGGAGCCUAAAAACCAAUAUUCCCACGGUAAAAUAAUGCUAAAAUAUUCAAUCUAUCUUUUCUAACAUGAUACCAAAGAGCAAAAACUAAAGGCUAGAAUAGGAAGCAUUCAACACCGACAUUGUUACACAGUAUUUAACGUAUUUAAUGCGUGAAUGCACUUUUUCUUUGCAUACAUUAGAACACAACGCGCCAUAGAUUCCCGCGAACUCAACAAUGUAACAUAAUGGUUGAUAAUGUUGGAUCAAAUAUUUGUUUGUUGUAAAUAAAAGUGUAGAUAACAAUA
Long non-coding RNA from Plodia interpunctella (Indianmeal moth), 943 nucleotides. RefSeq lists it as uncharacterized. Lineage: Eukaryota; Metazoa; Arthropoda; Insecta; Lepidoptera; Pyralidae. The record is from RefSeq and is a predicted model, not a curated record. The transcript is spliced from 2 exons.